GAGAUAGCACCCUUUGUUUAUGAGCACCUCUCGUUUCCUCGGCAGGCUCGCCUGCCAACGGGGACCCACCACAAACCCAUUGUAGUACAAGAAGUACACGUCUGAACAAAACAAAACAAACUAUUUACAACUUUCAACAACGGAUCUCUUGGUUCUGGCAUCGAUGAAGAACGCAGCGAAAUGCGAUAAGUAGUGUGAAUUGCAGAAUUCAGUGAAUCAUCGAAUCUUUGAACGCACAUUGCGCCCUUUGGUAUUCCUUAGGGCAUGCCUGUUCGAGCGUCAUUUCAACCCUCAAGCCUAGCUUGGUGUUGGGCGUCUGUCCCGCCUCCGCGCGCCUGGACUCGCCUCAAAAGCAUUGGCGGCCGGUUCCCAGCAGGCCACGAGCGCAGCAGAGCAAGCGCUGAAGUGGCUGCGGGUCGGCGCACCAU
RNAcentral lists this ribosomal RNA (428 nucleotides) under Corynespora cassiicola. RNAcentral's name for it is "eukaryotic LSU rRNA". The stretch from base 129 to 282 matches the Rfam family "5.8S ribosomal RNA". The record is from RNAcentral. Lineage: Eukaryota; Fungi; Ascomycota; Dothideomycetes; Pleosporales; Corynesporascaceae.